RNA transcript from Fundulus heteroclitus (mummichog), 6615 nucleotides. It is a transcript of the gene named RNA binding motif protein 47, with no coding region annotated. NCBI's taxonomy places the organism in Eukaryota, Metazoa, Chordata, Actinopteri, Cyprinodontiformes, Fundulidae. The record is from RefSeq and is a predicted model, not a curated record. The transcript has 9 exons.
UGUGUGUGCGUGUGUACACCGUACACACACGGCAGCGGAAGGCAGGAGGGCGAACGGAAAAGGAAUGAUAGGACGAUUUCUCUCGAAACGAAAGCAGAGGGACGGGAAGAAGGCGAAACAACCUGGACAGGUGUCUCUGACGGUGAAGAUCCAGAAGCGCCGGGGUUGAAUUCGACUCGAGCGCCGCGUCAGCUAUGGUUUGCUGUAGGGGACGAUAGAGCCUUGGUGUCUCACACGAUCAAGAAGACAGGAGUUUCCUUGUCAGCCCGGCCACGAGGCGAGAGACCAACCUGACGGACGACGCGGAGGAGGAGGUUGAGAGAGGGAGAACAUGAGAAAGUGACAAGUUGGAUGGCUGCUUUUUGACUUGCUGGACACAGAACCGACGGCGACACAGCGACUGCGAGUCCCAUCAUCAUCAUCAUCCCACAGGCCCAAAAUCUGAUUGGAUGGUUUUGUCAGAAUGACAGCGGAAGAUCCCAUUUCUUCAUCAAACAUGAGCAACAACUCUGCCCCCUCCAAACCCUCUGGUGCCUCCCACCAUCCCCUCCAAGCACAAAUCACUCUCCCAGAGGGAGUCGCAGGAGCUCCCAAUGAGGCUGCACUGUUGUCCUUGAUGGAACGCACUGGCUACGGUAUGGUCCAAGAAAACGGUCAGCGUAAAUACGGCCCACCUCCAGGUUGGAGUGGUCCAGCUCCUCCCCGGGGAUGUGAAAUCUUUGUUGGCAAGAUCCCACGAGACGUUUACGAGGACGAACUGGUCCCAGUGUUCGAGUCCGUAGGACGCAUCUACGAGAUGCGUCUGAUGAUGGACUUUGAUGGGAAAAACCGAGGGUAUGCAUUUGUUAUGUACACAGAAAAACACGAGGCCAAGAGGGCAGUGCGGGAGCUCAAUAACUAUGAGGUGCGCCCUGGCCGGCUGCUGGGCGUCUGCUCCUCAGUGGACAACUGCCGUCUUUUCAUUGGCGGGAUUCCCAAAACCAAGAAGCGCGAGGAGAUCCUGGAGGAAGUCUCCAAAGUGACAGAAGGGGUGUUAGACGUGAUCGUGUAUGCCAGUGCUGCUGACAAGAUGAAGAACCGCGGCUUCGCCUUCGUAGAGUACGAGUCCCAUCGAGCGGCCGCCAUGGCUCGCAGGAAGUUGAUGCCGGGAAGAAUUCAGCUGUGGGGCCACCAGAUCGCAGUAGACUGGGCAGAGCCGGAGAUUGAUGUAGAUGAAGACGUGAUGGAGACAGUAAAAAUACUCUACGUUAGGAAUCUGAUGAUGGAGACCAGCGAGGAGACAAUCAGAAAGAUUUUCAGCCAGUGGAACCAAGGAUGCGUGGAGCGUGUGAAGAAAAUCCGUGACUAUGCUUUCGUCCACUUUACAUCCCGAGAUGACGCCGUGCUGGCCAUGGACCACCUCAACGGCACAGAGAUUGAAGGGUCCUGCAUUGAAGUAACGCUUGCCAAGCCAGUAGACAAGGAGCAGUACUCGCGUCAGAAAGCCUCUAAAGGAGGCGCCUCUGCCCCUCCUGAGGCUCCCCAGCAGAACUACAUCUACCAGUGUGACCCCUACACGUUGGCUUACUAUGGUUACCCUUACAGCACGCUUAUUGGACCCAACAGGGAAUACUUUGUCAAAGGAUCCCCAAUGAUACAGAACAAUGCAGGUACCGUGCGAGGGCGUGGUCGUGCUGCCGCAGGUAAUCGUACCCCUGGACCUCGAGGGUCUUACCUAGGGGGUUAUUCUGCCGGUCGCGGCAUCUACAGCCGCUACCACGAGGGCAAGACCAAGCAGCCCGAAAAGCCCUAUGAACUGAUGCCCAGUCUGGAGCUUGCUGCCUCCGUCAACCCAGUUGGCAUCAAACCAGGCACAAUGGCAUUGCCAUCUCUGGGUGCACAGUACCCGGUCUUCAGCACUGCUCCUAAUGCCAAAGUGAUGGAGGAGGGCAAAGUGCACACAGUAGAGCAUCUUAUGAACCCUCUGACCAUGCAGCACCCUGAACACAGCGCUGCCACCGCCGCUGCCGCCGCCGCCGCUGUCCUGCCUGCGGUGUCCACUCCUCCGCCCUUCCAGGGCCGCCCAAUCACUCCUGUCUAUACCAUGACCCACAACCUCCAGCGCAUCCCAGCAGCCACCAGCCUGUACGGACACGGGUAUGUUCCCAUCGCUAACUACGCCGCCAACACAGCCACUCUGGCCGCCCUGCAGAAAAACGCCGUCAUGGCAGCACAGGCGUACGGAGGUUACGCCGGCUAUGCUGUGCCCCAAGCCUUCCCCGCCGCUGCCUUCCCGCUGCCCAUCCACGACGUCUACCAGUCGUACUGAUGCGGAAGCUCAGACCGAGGCGUCCGGUGACUGAAUCUCAAUGGCGUCUCUCCGCGACACACGAAAACAUCGCUCGAACUUCAGCUCGAAUGGAAUUUGUAGCAAAUACUGAGACUGCAAACGGGGACAAAAAUGAAGGCCUGGUAUCUUUUAUUAGUCCCUGCCAUCCUCUGUGUAUCCUGGGGUUAGAGAAAGGGGGAGCAGCUCUGUUAGACAGCAUCACUGUUUGUUUUGUUUUUCUUUCUGAAUUUUGUAACAAAAUUUCCCAGCAUCCCCUGCAACAGUAACCACAACUCCAGUAAUGUUCCGAUUAUCUCUCAUUUUUUGUUGCAACACCUGGCCGCUGUUGCAGCGGGAACAUUAACGGUACUUUUUAAAGUAUUUAUGAAGAAAAGACACAUUGUUCAUGCUUUAUUCCUUAUUUCUCUUUUUAUUUUAUCUUGGUAUUUUCUUCUCUGGAACAGAUCUUUACACUGUAUAAUGUGUGAAAACACAGAAAGAAGGAAAAGGUAACCAGGAACUACUGAUAAGUGGACACCACUGUCUUUGGAUAUAUCAAUUUUUGUAGUCUCUUUUUCAUUAAUAUAUAGUAUUCUAGACUGUUUUACAUGCUGUAGGUGAUGCUGACCAUCCAUGCUGGUUAAAUGUGUAUUGCUUUCCAUAUUUCCACUUGGUACUUUUUUUGGCGUAGUUUGUCUUAUGUUUUAGUUGUUGUAAAUGAAGGUUUUAGGCCUCUUGUUUCUUUUUUUUUUUCUUUUUUUAGUUCCCUGAUUCUUUUGUCCCCAGUUAUGACAUUCAGAAAUGUGUGUCUUGCUGUUGAUACACUAUAAAAACUGCUGAGUUAAAAACAACCUAAUUUAGGAAUAUAUAGCUAACCAAGCUGUGGGUCACAUAUAGACCAAUCCAGAGUUCAACAAAAACGUUUGGGUUAAACUGAAGGAUUUUUUUUUUUUUUAGUUUUUGUCUAGUUUUGUGUUAAAAAUUAUCAAAUACAAAACAUAGAUAAAUGAACACAAGAAACCUACCGUGUCUUAUGAGAUAUUUAGCGACUGUCAGUUUUUGAUAAAAAAAAAAUCAUGUUCAUGAUAAAACUAUAAAAUUUGUCACUUUUUAUUUUCCUUACAGCACAUCUUUGAUUAAAACUCCAAAAUAAAGAUAAUUAUUAAAUUGAAAAUAAUAAUAAUAGUUUUGAAACAUGAUUGCAAGAAAACUUAAAAUAGAAGCCUUUUAAGUCUGGAUGUAUUAACUUUAUAACCAAUUUGUUUCUCAAAAUGUUAACGUGACGCUAGCUUGCGCUAACCACUUCGCAGGUACAUGGCUAAUGCUAGUAAACUUGUUCUUUAAUGCUACAGUCAUUACACACAAGCUGCUGACAUAGACAUUAUUAUACAGCAUAAAUUUACAAUCUCACUGUUUCUGUUUAUUCCUGCGGUCGAGGUUCGCUGAAGUCUGAUCAGGUCGCUUUGUUGCCUAAAUAGCGCUCUCUAAGCCGACAAGCUGGGUCACAAUUUUUAACCAAAUGUUUUGUUGAAACUACCUAACAAAUGUCCCAACAGCAAAAAAAACUCAACAUUUGGAGUAGAAAAAUAACCUUGCAGUUUUUCUUGUGUGUGUGUGUGUGUGUUUGUACCUUUUAGUGAUGGGAAUAUAAAAGGCAAAAACUGGAAUACAUCAAGUGCCUUUUAUGAGUUCCUCAUCAUCUGAAACUGUAUUAGUAGGGGACUGAGACUGAAUAGAUGUUUGUUUUUCUUCAUUUAAGUAUAUUUUAUUGUUUUUUUGAAAUGCUCGAGUCUUGAAAGGUGAACAAAUAUGUUUUUUUUUUCUUUAAGAAUUGGGUAUCUUCAUUGCUUAACCCAUUCCCAUUUUUGUCAACCAAAUACUUAAUACACUCCAGUCUGAUGACUUCAGAGAGACUCUUUUGCACUUGACUACAGUGCCUUACAUCUCUGUACAGUAUGUGCCUUUAGUAACAAAACGGGGCUGUGAGGUUGACACUAGAAGGAACAGGCUCACAUCUGUGCACGGCACCUGAGUCUCUUUCUGUUUGUUUUUCCAGUGAACUCUGUUUUUGUUGUUACUGUAUCACAGUGAGACGAGUGGGUUUGAGGCUCCGGAGUCAGAUGUCAGAAGGCAUCUGCAGUUACGCUCCUGGCUCCCUCUUUAUUUCUCAUCCUCCAAACCGUCCUAGACCAAGGUGCACUUAAACAUAUUUAUAACAGGCAUGGAGCAGCCACCUUGAAAUGAAGAGAUAUUAAAUAUGGAGCGUGAAACUCAUGAGUGGAUAAGACUGGUUUGGUUGUUUGUUUUCCAGUGUUUUAUUAAUGUGUGAGUUUUACUUUGCCGACAACAAAAAAAAAAAAAAAAAAAAAAAAAAGAAGCCUAUAAGAUACGUUUUUUCGGGGCACUUGUGAAACUUCGACGUUUGUGUGCAAGAAGUGCAAAACUGGAGCAAUACCUCACUCUUGGAAUAUGCAAGUAGGCACGCAAUACGCUGGUUGUAGCGAGACCGCUAAACAACGUCAAGCAGCUGCUAAUCAGGAAGUCGCUCUCAUUAACAGCCACGCGAUCAGCGGAGAAAACAAGUACGGAAACCUGUCCGCAUUUUCUUAGUAGUUAGCGCAGAUCUCACGCUUUUUGUGGUCACGACCCAAGUGAAAUCAAACCAUCAAAUCUAACCAAAUGUACUAUAUAAACUAGAGUGGAACAUCUCAGGGAAUAAGUAUUGAACAUGCUCAAUGAAUCGUAUUAAGUACUCCAUGCACGAGUCUCUGUUUUAGUAGCGACUACUUCCAGAUAGCGUCUCGGCAUGCUGUCUUCGAAACUUGAAGGUUCUGUAGGCCUUUUCUACGCCCGCUGAUGUUCUGUGCGUUUUCAAAGGUAUUCCACUGGAUUACAAUCCGGUGACUGAUUUGGUCAGAGGCUUUACUUUCUUUCUGUGAAACCAACUGAGCAUUUCCUGGGCCGUAUGUUCGGGAUCAUUGUCUCCGUUGCAGUAAAUCAGUGUAACUAUCCUUUAUUCAGCAGUGUGAAAUCUCACAGUAUCAUAUGCUUAAAAAAAAGCCCCACAUCCAAACUUCUGGAUCAUGGCCCCGGCAGUGCUCACUGGACUGCUCAGUUGUCAGUAUGCUUAGCAGCAACAAUCUGGAAGAGGUCUCAGGAGAGCUAUUUGCUUUUACCCAUCAUGAGAUGUUUCUUGUGCGACACCCUUAUAAAGAAACACCAUUUUAUAUUUUAUAGUACAGGAAUUAGGACUGAACCAGCCAAUACUAGUUUGCACAAACAAGACGCGGGAUCGCUUUUGCAACUACUGACAGACUGCAGCUCUCUUCUCUGCUUUCUAUGCAUUUCUUCACUUCAUUUCAUUUCUAUGUUCAAUAUUUAUUCCCUGGGGAAUGAUUUCUUUGUAUGCACGGAUAACUUAGGUUCUCCAAAGGUGAAUGGUGUAAAUUCGAGUCAAAAGGCCAAUUAUUUUUAUUUUGGCACAUUCAAUACUUUUUUUUCUCAGCAAUAUAAAAAAAUAAUGUCCCCCCGCCCCCCCAAAUAUUUAAUUGUAUUUUUUUUGGUCCAGUUUCAAUUCCUUAUUUUUUGUGGCAUCUUUCUGUUUGGAAUGUUCCUUUUUUUAAUAUACAUUUCUCAUAUUUUUGAUGACCACGCACAAAUCUGAAAUUGUCCAUCUUUAGAGAGUUGAUGAAGUAAGUUAUUUGCUCCAAGAAUUUAAAUGAAAACGACCAAUGUUCUUGUGAGCCUUCACUCACACUCCAUGUUGUCCUUCUUUCGCUCCAAUUAAACUGGACUUUACGUAGAGAACUAACUGCUGUUAACUGCUUUUAUGAUGAAGAGAGAAAGCCUGGAUAUAUAUUUAAUAUAUGCAUUACACUUGAUAUGUAUGAAGUGAAAAGAAAAGGUAUAAUAUAUUCCGAAAACAUAUUUCUUUGCUUAUUUACAACUUGAGUAGGGAUGAAAAGUCAGAGUAAAGUAGAAAAAGAAAUGUUCUCUUUGUCUUUGUAUUACUUUUUUGCCAAAGUAAGCAGUAGUUUUUAGCUUUUUAACAUUUAUUGUAAUUUUCUUAUCUGUAACCUAACGUACUUGGUGUUAUGAGGGGGAACACAAAGAACCUUCAAGUUCAGCCACAUUUUAGCUGUUUCAGCAAGGAUUAAAGGUGGCUCGUUGAAGUGUUACAGCCCUGGCACUUUGAGCUGGCCGUGUUGCAACUUUGCAUGUCAGAUUUGUCCAGAGAGUCCAACAAUGAUUGAGCUGCCUUACGAACUGAUGAAAAGGCAAAAAAAAAAAAAAAAGUUUGAAAAAAA